GAUGAACGCUGGCGGCGUGCCUAAUACAUGCAAGUCGAGCGAACAGAUGAGGAGCUUGCUCCUCUGACGUUAGCGGCGGACGGGUGAGUAACACGUGGAUAACCUACCUAUAAGACUGGGAUAACUCCGGGAAACCGGAGCUAAUACCGGAUAAUAUAUUGAACCGCAUGGUUCAAUAGUGAAAGACGGUUUUGCUGUCACUUAUAGAUGGAUCCGCGCCGCAUUAGCUAGUUGGUAAGGUAACGGCUUACCAAGGCAACGAUGCGUAGCCGACCUGAGAGGGUGAUCGGCCACACUGGAACUGAGACACGGUCCAGACUCCUACGGGAGGCAGCAGUAGGGAAUCUUCCGCAAAGGGCGAAAGCCUGACGGAGCAACGCCGCGUGAGUGAUGAAGGUCUUCGGAUCGUAAAACUCUGUUAUUAGGGAAGAACAAAUGUGUAAGUAACUAUGCACGUCUUGACGGUACCUAAUCAGGAAGCCACGGCUAACUACGUG
Molecule: ribosomal RNA, 497 nt
Filed under: uncultured bacterium
Lineage: Bacteria
Description: partial 16S ribosomal RNA
Rfam family: Bacterial small subunit ribosomal RNA
Source: RNAcentral